UACCCAGACUCCUACGGGAGGCAGCAGUGGGGGAUAUUGCACAAUGGGGGAAACCCUGAUGCAGCGACGCCGCGUGUGGGAAGACGGUCCUCUGGAUUGUAAACCCCUGUCCCCAGGGACGAAGAUGACGGUACCUGGGGAGGAAGCUCCGGCUAACUACGUGCCAGCAGCCGCGGUAAUACGUAGGGAGCAAGCGUUGUCCGGAAUUACUGGGUGUAAAGGGAGCGUAGACGGCAUGGCAAGCCAGAUGUGAAAUGCCGGGGCUCAACCCCGGGACUGCAUUUGGAACUGUUAAGCUGGAGUGUCGGAGAGGCAGGCGGAAUUCCUAGUGUAGCGGUGAAAUGCGUAGAUAUUAGGAGGAACACCAGUGGCGAAGGCGGCCUGCUGGACGAUAACUGACGUUGAGGCUCGAAAGCGUGGGGAGCAAACAGGAUUAGAUACCCGUGUAC
RNAcentral lists this ribosomal RNA (449 nucleotides) under uncultured bacterium. Its description in RNAcentral is "bacterial SSU rRNA". It matches the Rfam family "Bacterial small subunit ribosomal RNA", at positions 328 to 793 of the family's 1533-position model. The record is from RNAcentral.